RNAcentral lists this ribosomal RNA (277 nucleotides) under uncultured bacterium. RNAcentral's name for it is "partial 16S ribosomal RNA". It matches the Rfam family "Bacterial small subunit ribosomal RNA", at positions 337 to 606 of the family's 1533-position model. The record is from RNAcentral.
GCCUACGGGGGGCAGCAGUAGGGAAUCUUCCACAAUGGACGAAAGUCUGAUGGAGCAACGCCGCGUGAGUGAAGAAGGGUUUCGGCUCGUAAAGCUCUGUUGGUAGUGAAGAAAGAUAGAGGUAGUAACUUGCCUUUAUUUUACGGUAAUUACUUAGAAAGUCACGGCUAACUACGUGCCAGCAGCCGCGGUAAUACGUAGGUGGCAAGCGUUGUCCGGAUUUAUUGGGCGUAAACCGCGUGCAGGCGGCUCAAUAAGUCUGAUGUGGAAACCUUCG